GUUUUGCCAUGUUGGCCAGGCUGGUCUCCAACUCCUGACCUCAGGUGAUUCCCCCUGCCUUGGCCUUCCAAAAUGCUGGGAUUACAGGCGUGAGCCAUGGCGCCCAGCCCUUCCUCCCAUUUUUGCUACCCACCUGUCACUUCUUGACAUUGUGAUUAUUUAUGUCAUACUGUUUCUGAUCUGUUCUGGGCCUGGGAAUCAAAUAGCCAUGUUUGCUAGGCCUUUGUAUGAGAUGCUGCAUUUUGACUGAGGCCUCAGGACUCCCGGGUGAAAGAUUGCUUCCAAGUAUGAUCAUCAGGCAGAAGAAGAUCUUCGCAAUUGGAUAGAAGAGGUGACAGGCAUGAGCAUUGGCCCCAACUUCCAGCUGGGCUUAAAGGAUGGCAUCAUCCUCUGCGAACUUAUAAACAAGCUACAGCCAGGCUCAGUGAAGAAGGUCAACGAGUCCUCACUGAACUGGCCUCAGUUGGAGAAUAUUGGCAACUUUAUUAAAGCUAUUCAGGCUUAUGGUAUGAAGCCACAUGACAUAUUCGAAGCAAAUGAUCUU
RNAcentral lists this long non-coding RNA (544 nucleotides) under Homo sapiens (human). RNAcentral's name for it is "non-protein coding lnc-ALG14-8:1". The record is from RNAcentral. Lineage: Eukaryota; Metazoa; Chordata; Mammalia; Primates; Hominidae.